Marmota monax (woodchuck) is the source of this 2759-nucleotide long non-coding RNA. RefSeq lists it as uncharacterized. The transcript has 7 exons. The record is from RefSeq and is a predicted model, not a curated record. Lineage: Eukaryota; Metazoa; Chordata; Mammalia; Rodentia; Sciuridae.
ACACCUGUAGAUAUUUGUUAACAGUGAUGAAGAAAGGCUAGUUACACACUGGCCAACAUAUAGGGCUUCCUAACACACCAAAUGUAUUAUGGGUUAUCUUGCUGGGUAUAAUAGCUAUUAUACUUCUGUGUGAAAAAGGGAUAUCACUAGUUUUAUAAGGUAGCAGAAUUGCAUUACAUAAUCAUUUUCUGUAGGAGGUGUUUAGGAAUUGCAACCUAUGAAAAGACAUUUCCUUAAGACUUUUAUUGUUCAAUUUUGUUACAUUGUUUUCAAAAUAAAUUUUAAAAAUAAGUAGUAAUUUCUUCAAAACUGUGAGGUGUCUCAAAAGUACAAUAAAUGAACCAAUUCAUCUGUGUUUCCAGAGCUUCAGGGCACUUCAUAGUGUAUUUAUUAUACCUGGUCCAGAGGAACAAAUGAAUUCAUUGCUUCACCUGAAGAAUUGUCUGGGAGUUACAGAAUGAUGUCGGAAGCAUAUCAUUUAAAAUGUCACUAACUUUUCUUUUUACAACUGAAAAUCAGACAACAUCAACAAUAAAGGACAAUGGGUCAAGGUAGGGACAUGGCUUUUUUAAAGCUCACCUUCAGUUGUUGCACAUCAAACCCUAAAUUUAACACGUCCUUCACUGGCGUUCCAUUAGCAAUGUCAAGAAUCACAUUGAGAGCCUCGGAACAUUCUUUUGCUCUCUGCUGCACCUAAUAGGAUUAAUAGAAGAAAGAAAUGAUAAAGUAAAAGAUUUUAACAUUUAUCUUAAAGUUUGUAUAGCGGUUGCAUUUGGGAAAAUAGUUGGUUUGUUAUAAACUGGAAACAUCUGAGUGAUUAAUGAUUAGAGUGCAGGCUGACAUGGGGACAUGGUUAUCAGCUUCACAGGGAAGUAUAGCUUAGUUCAAAUCCUGGCUCUGUGCUUAGGUGCUGUGUAACUUCAGAUGAUUUACUUAACCUCCCUGGGCUUCCACUGAUUGUAUAACAAUGUUUACAUCAAUAAAAUGUGGGUGAACUUCAAUGCCAUACCAUAUGUAAAAUGCCGACAACAAAGAAACAAUAAAUAUGCUUUAUUUCACUUAAUUGUCCCAACAGCUCUGUAAGAUAGACACUGCUAUUAUAACUCACUGUUUUGUAACAGAUAAAAUGCGGAAGCAAAAGAGAUGAACUUGUCCUGGUUCAGCCCACAGCAAAGUGAUGAAGCUAGUAGAGUUCAACUUUCAAACGUAGGAAGUUGGAUUAUGAAGACUGUACUCUUAGCACUGUUAUAUACUGCCUCUCUGAAGUCUUUUUUUUUUCUAUUGCCUGCAGGAGUGGGGAUCUAUUAGUUUAUUUCCUAUCACUUUUGAGAUUCUAAAAUUAUAAGUUUCAAUACCAGAGAACUCUGCCAGACAGACUUGCGUUUACUUUUACUGUGAACCAGACAUUUUGUUAAGGAAAUCUUACUACUUGGAUAUCUUCUGAUAGAUCUUUUGGUAAUGGGAAGUAGGAGAGCCAGGAGCAUAGUUUGCCAUGUGUAAAAUUAAAUUAACAAAUGUCAUUGUUUUUUACAUACAUGCUUUAGGCCACCAGAACACCUCUCUUCUCAUGGCAAAGUACCUGCUGUUUUUGAAAAGUCUCCUCCUCUCCUUGUUCCAGGGUUUUAAAGUAGAGCCAAGACCUGUUCCUUGUUUCUGCAGCAGACUGGUCCUCGAAAUAGUGUCCCAUGAUGAAGGCUUUCCCCAUCUUUCCUUCGAACCUGCACAGCCUGGAAGAGCAAAUGGGGCAGUGGUCCUAAGCCAACCUGCUACUCUCACUAUAUUCUUGCCUGCCCGGUGGGCCUCUAAGAGGAAAAACCAAGGACCAGCCACAGAAAGAUGAAAUUCUGAGACCCACAGGCCCGAAGGAAAGUCCAAACUUUUCCAGUUGAGGAGACAGAAACUUCCAUCAAAAGUUCCAGGAGAUAAUGAAGAAGACAAUGUUUUCUAUUAUCUGUUUUUGAUUGGCCUUUUGCAAAAGGAGCCUCAUCUCGGACUCAAGCCAGCUACCAACGUGGGAUUGCCAACCUCUCCAGGAGGAGAGAGAGCUCACUGGAAUCUGAGUAGCAAUAAGGCAGAGAAUGAAACUGAGCAUCCCACUGACAAUGCCUUUCUGCUGAGGCCCAUCCUCUCUGCCCUGUGAAUGUCUCCAGCUGAGGGUUACUGGGAACAAAGACGAUGGAACAACUAUUGCAGGCAAAUAGGAAAGGUUUCUGUCAUGGAAUUGACCAAAAUAUCAAACCUGACAAAGCUCCACCAAGCUGUGGCUCUGCGGGACUACAAUUUAGUAAAGAGGAUUUUGAAGAAAGGUCUUUGUGACCCAAACUACAAGGAUGUCGACUGGAAUGACCGGACCCCCCUUCACUGGGCUUCAAUCAAAGGUGGGUGGGCGAUGCCUUAGUAGAUCCACCCCUGUGAGCCCACCAUUCAGUCUACAGGCUGUGUUACUGAGUAGAAAAAAAUAUUUUUCUGGAGCUAGAUGGAGCAUUUCAAUCAUCACCCCUUACCCACAUUAGCAAAUUUAGUUUGUUAUUUAAUGUCUCUGGGCCUCAGUUUAUGCUUCUAUAUAAUGGGGGUAGUAAUGUUACAGUGGAGUGAUAGGCAUUCAGUAAGAUAGUGGGUAUACAACACCUAGCAUAUAAUCUGCUCUUAAUUAAUAUUAGUCUUUUGCCAUUUCCAAAACCACCUUCAGAGAGUACUUGUCACCUGCUGGCCACUGGACUGUGUACUUUAUCUUUGUGGGUUCACUUGUACUUCUCAAA